This 262-nucleotide ribosomal RNA is filed under the name uncultured bacterium. RNAcentral's name for it is "partial 16S ribosomal RNA". It matches the Rfam family "Bacterial small subunit ribosomal RNA", at positions 90 to 354 of the family's 1533-position model. The record is from RNAcentral.
UUCGAGUGGCGGACGGUGAGUAACGCGUGGUAACCUGCCUUACACAGGGGGAUAACACCUGGAAACAGGUGCUAAUACCGCAUAAGCGCACAGGGCCGCAUGGCCCGGUGUGAAAAACUCCGGUGGUGUAAGAUGGACCCGCGUCUGAUUAGCUUGUUGGCGGGGUAGAGGCCCACCAAGGCGACGAUCAGUAGCCGGCCUGAGAGGGUGGACGGCCACAUUGGGACUGAGACACGGCCCAAACUCCUACGGGAGGCAGCAG